AAAGAACAAAGAGAAAGGACUAGAAACAAACCCUAGAGAGGAAAAUUCAAGAGAAAUUUGUUGAAUUUCAAAGAACAAAACAAUCAAAGGUAAGAUUUUUCAAUUUUAGCUUAAGAUCUACCUUUCCCAUGCUUUCUUUUUCAUUUUCUAUGGAUGAAACACAAGUUUUCAUGAGGGAAUACUUGCUGGCCGAACAUAGGGAGAGAGGUUUUGAUGAUGGAUUUUGCUAGAUUUCAUGAUAUCUUAGUGUUUUUAGUUGUUUGAUGAUGUUUGGCAUGAAAAACAAGCAAGAAAAUCACAUGCCCUUCAACAACCCUCUUUGGCUGAAUUUUAUAGAUGACAUGUUGAUGAUGGAUUUUGUUGUAUUUCAUGUUAUUUAGCUCGUAAUUGAUGAUUU
Molecule: long non-coding RNA, 397 nt
Filed under: Theobroma cacao (cacao)
Lineage: Eukaryota; Viridiplantae; Streptophyta; Magnoliopsida; Malvales; Malvaceae
Description: long non-coding RNA (TCAC_LNC004433)
Source: RNAcentral